This is a long non-coding RNA of Solanum tuberosum (potato), 2079 nucleotides long. RefSeq lists it as uncharacterized. The record is from RefSeq and is a predicted model, not a curated record. The transcript is spliced from 2 exons. Lineage: Eukaryota; Viridiplantae; Streptophyta; Magnoliopsida; Solanales; Solanaceae.
UAAUUUUAUUGUACAUUGUGCAAUCAAAGUUGGACAGAUGUCUAUUCUUGUUAUUUAGAACAAAAACAAGGAUGCUUUUGUCUUUUCAUAUAUUCGUUCUUCAUUCUCUAGGAUGCUUCUCGAUGAUUCUUCACUUUUCUUUCUUUCUCCCUUUCAGUCUCUCCAAUUUUUCCAAACUAAAUUAGUUCGAUUAGGUUUCAAAAUUCAGGAGAAAAUUUUCAAAUAACUCAUCAACUAUACUUUGAACACCCCCUUGACAUUGUAGUUGCAAGUUUUAACCACAAUUCGAUAUUUUUCUCCCCUGGAUAUCUCUGUUUCCGCUCCCGUAUUUCUCUUUUCUUACUAUCUGAAGAAUGGUAAAAAGUUAAUUUUAUGCUAAAAGAGAAAAAGACAGAUAAUUCUGGAAGCAUGCUCUUCCAUCUUCUUCCCAGGUGGGUAUCGCCAUUUAGGUAUUCUUUUCUUUUAUUUGUAGCCCAAAUCUUCUUUCAGCUCUUUACACUCUCUCUUCAAUCUUUUUCAGAUUGAGCAUCUCAAGCUGAAUGAGAUAUGCUUCUGUUAAUUUUUGCAGAGAAAUUGUUACUACCAGGGUAGAAAAAGAUGUUGAGGGAGACAAAUUUUUUGGCCUUUGUCGCAACAUUAAUUUCAUUUUGUUACCCUUUCAUCGGAUUGGGUCUUGUGAUUGGUAUUUGAAAUCUUGAGAGGAUUGAACUUUUGGCCUAUGACCAUAUAUUUUCCAGUGGAAAUGUACAUUGUGCAAGGAAAAAUUGGAGCUUGGACAAAAAACUGAAUACAUCUUGAAGGUUUCAGUCUGCUUGAUUGAGCAUUUCUGAAAAUAUUAAUAGUUAUUCUGAAAAGAGUCAUAAGGUACAUGGUGAUUUCUUUUCACGUUUUGCUUUGAUCAGAUGUUCUCUCCAAUUAUUUCUUUCCAUCGUUUGCUUACUACAUUGUUUUCUUUAGGAUUUCUCUGUUACUCCAUGUAUCCAUCCAUGUCCUGCUGGUAAUUGGUAAAGUGGACUCAGUUAAUUUAGAAUUUGAACUUGAAGUCGAUUUUUGCCUACUAGGUAUUCUCAAACAUUCAGCUACGCAGGAAAGGCUAUCUAACCACCAGGUUUGGUUUGAAUAGAGAUUCAAAUGUUGUCUUUUCCUAGGUUCUACUUCUAACUUUCCUUUACAUGUUCUAAAUUGUUGGAAAUCAUCAACUUGAUGUUUGUGCUGCAUUCCCCUACUUUUAUUAGAGCGAACAAAUUCCUGCUUAUUUUACAAAAGUCAUUCCAAGUACAUGCAUUACUUCUAUUGAUCCACCAUGUUCAUCCACUAACUUCUCAAAGUUGCAGAGAUAUUUUUAGAUUAUGACAUUUCCUCUAAAAUGUUGAUUAGGAAUCUGUAAAGCUUGCUUAAUGUUGGAUAAUAGAAAAGAUAUGACUUUCCCUAUCUUGAUAUAGAAGUUUACUGUAAGCAGUGAUGUGAAAAUAUUGAUAAAUUUCCAUGUGAAUGAACAGACAAAGAAAAGAUCAUUAAAGUACUAUCUAUGUAGAAGAUCUCAUUUAGAAUUAUAUGUCGGAAUUCUUUCUGUUAUCCUUGACAUUGACAAACAAAUCAUGUUCUUCACAUUUUCCUUAUUCAAUUAUGUAUAUUCAUCAGUUUUUACUUGUCAGAGUAUCUUCUUCUUCAUUUUUAGCCGCUACACCAAAACAAAUUAAAGAAACUAUGAAGUUGGGUGGCUUCAUCCAUGAUGAAGUGAAAACCAUUGACAAUUGCUCUUUUUGUGUAUAUACAUUAGUAUUCUUUAUCAAUUCUCCUAUAGCAUUCACGUUUUUUUAUUUACAUGGCGCUUGAUUCUAGAUAUAUUACUGAAAUGCUUCUUAAAUUGCAGAUAAGCAUAUUUCAUAUUUGGUGUCUUCCAAUCCUAAGCUGUCCAAAAAUCAUUGUUUAUGUAGGAGUACAAUGUAUAAUUAAAUAUACAUACUUUCUAAGGACGUUUGCUAUUUGCCCAUGAUAGAACAAACUAUAUUUUGUUGCAAUGCAGUUGUAACUUACAACCACCUGAUCAUGUGAUUAAUUUGGAAGUUUUGACUGAUA